RNAcentral lists this ribosomal RNA (450 nucleotides) under uncultured bacterium. Its description in RNAcentral is "partial 16S ribosomal RNA". It matches the Rfam family "Bacterial small subunit ribosomal RNA", at positions 354 to 796 of the family's 1533-position model. The record is from RNAcentral.
GUGGGGAAUCUUCCGCAAUGGACGAAAGUCUGACGGAGCAACGCCGCGUGAGUGAAGAAGGUUUUCGGAUCGUAAAGCUCUUUCGUUAGGGACGAACGUGCUCUUUGUGAAUAAUGAGGAGUAAUGACGGUACCUAAAUAAGAAGCCACGGCUAACUACGUGCCAGCAGCCGCGGUAAUACGUAGGUGGCAAGCGUUGUCCGGAAUUAUUGGGCGUAAAGCGCGCGCAGGCGGGAUAUCAAGUCUGUCUUAAAAGUGCGAGGCUCAACCUCGUGAGGGGACAGAAACUGGUAUUCUUGAGUGUCGGAGAGGAAAGUGGAAUUCCAAGUGUAGUGGUGAAAUGCGUAGAGAUUUGGAAGAACACCAGUGGCGAAGGCGACUUUCUGGACGAUGUCUGACGCUGAGGCGCGAAAGCUAGGGGAGCGAACGGGAUUAGAAACCCUAGUAGUCC